AAACCAUGAUGUGGACAUCUCCUCAAAAGUUCUUAAAAGCGCUAACACAUCUCAAACAAAGAUUCAGACUCAUAUUGUUGAAAAUUGGAGAUCUCAGUCAUCAGCUU
Abrus precatorius (Indian licorice) is the source of this 107-nucleotide small nucleolar RNA. NCBI's taxonomy places the organism in Eukaryota, Viridiplantae, Streptophyta, Magnoliopsida, Fabales, Fabaceae. The record is from RefSeq and is a predicted model, not a curated record.